UUGAAUGGUGGAGAGAUUAGCUAGAGCAGCUUGGCACUGUGAUAUGAAAAGUGGUGCAUGCAUACCUUAAGUGUCCAAGUAUGCAUCAUUUCAGCACAGAAUUCUGUAGGCUGUGUCAGCAGAGGUGCGCAGGAGUGUUCUUGCUGUUUGGAUUGCCCGGUGAUCUAUGUGACAGCAGUCUCUGGGGCUUAGCGAGGAACAAGGCAAUGUCUCAGAAGGAAUCCUCAAGGACAUCUCUGAAAAAAGUUGGGAAGGAAGGAAGAAGGGACAUCUUAUAGAAAAUUCCACCAUUUCCUCAAGGACAAGACAAAAGAUGGCAUCUGGGGGAAUUUGUUCCUCAUCAGCAUUUAGUAGCAAGACGGGUGGAAUCAUUGUCCGAAGACAUCUUUCAGCAACUACAGCUGGAUUUGAAUGACUGCAUUGCUUUCCACUGCAGUUUGAUGAAUCAGUCGACAUGACCGACACAGCCCAGGUAAUUGUUUUUGUUUGAAUGGUUUUUAAGGACAUGACAACUAAAGAGGACCUUCUGACUGCUUUCCCCCUUAAAGAGAGAACAAGAGGCGAAGAUAUCUACAACGAAUUUAAAAAGUACAUACUUGAGAAAAUCAUUCCAGUCAAGAAACUUGUUUGGAUCACAACGGAUGAUGCAUCCGCCAUGCUUGGUGAAAAUGCAGGCUUUGUCGCAUGUUGCAGAAGUGAUCCAGAUUUUCUUUCAUUUGUAAAUUACCACUGUAUAAUCCAUCUGCAAGCACUAGCGAGUAAAAUUAUGGACUUCUCACAUAUAAUGAAAAUCGCUGUCAGAAUUCUAAACUCAAUUCGAGCAAGAGCUGACCAAAUUAGCAGAGGAAUUCAACAGGCUAUUUCAAGAAUUAGACAUAAUGGAGCCAAUCAUCAUGUGUAUCUCAAAUCCGUUCCUUCCAGCAGACAUUGGAGGGUUGGCUGCGAUAUUCCAUCAGUUGUUUGAUUUACAAAGUAGUGGAAUUGAUAUGGAGAUAAUUACCAUGAACGCCAGAUCUAGGGACAGCGAUUUUGAGGGACUCAUAAACCAAAAAAAGUUUCCCUGUGACAUUAUUGAUAUGAACUGUGACCAUAUAGAUCAUCGUUGCAACCAAUGUCCUCUAGUUGCACCAAAUCUUGUACAAAGGAGGUGAAAGGUGUCUACGGAACGUUUUUUUGCUAGUUAUGAUUAUGCUGUCUGUGUGUAUCAUUUUUGUAUUUGAAGUUAUGAAU
Trachemys scripta elegans is the source of this 1230-nucleotide long non-coding RNA. RefSeq lists it as uncharacterized. The record is from RefSeq and is a predicted model, not a curated record. The transcript is spliced from 3 exons. Lineage: Eukaryota; Metazoa; Chordata; Testudines; Emydidae.